UCUGUGUCCUUGCUCUUCAACCAGACAGUUACUUCCACUGCUCUCUUCUUGAUAGAUAAGCUUCAGAGGAUGCUGUGUCAAGCUUCUCCCCACCCUCCUCUAUCUCUCCCACCCCCCCUGGCUCCAGGCCUGAAAGUGCUUGGAUUACUUUCACAAGCAUAUCCUUAAGCAGAGCUAGUCCUACGGCCCAUUGAGGUGCAAAGGAAGCUGGGAAAUGAAGGCUUCCUGUGCCCAGAAGGAAAACAAAAAUAGCAAGUAAACAUAUUGCCUGUCUCUACACUGUGACCCAGAUGGCCAAUUUCAGUACUCUCAAAUCCCAGGAAUAUUAUUUUCCUGCCACUUCACUGCCAGCCCAUAUGAUGGGCACUCAUCUCUAUUUACACACUGACUUUUGGGGACCAGAUUUAAGAUAUCCAGUGCAAUACCUGGGAUGUCCUCUGCCUACUGCCAAAGAAAUGGAUUUUCCCCGGGGCAUAUGAAAGGACGUUGAUGAAUGCUGGUGGACAAUAGAGACAAGACUUGUUUCCUUUAAGGAAUGUGAAUGGCCCUGGAACAGACAAAUGAAUCUCAUGAGGCUGGAAAUUCAAGAUCAAGGUAUCACCACGGUUGGAUCCUGGUGGGAGUCCACUUCCUGGAUUGCAGUGCACCUUUGCAGUGGUUUCAUAAAGAGGUGGAGUCUUCACGUCCCUGGGAUCAUGGCUUGCCUUGGCCAACGGGUCAUUAGGCAACAUGACAUAAACACAGCCUAGAAAAGUGCAGGCUCACUGUGGCUUGCUCCCUCCUGCUGCUCUUUGGAACUUUGAGUCCACCACGGGAAGAAGUCUGGGCUAGCCCGCAGGAGUGGGAGAGACCACAUCUGAGAAGAAAGGAGCCAUCGCAGCUAAAUCCUCUACUCCUUGACCAACUAGCCAACGAUGACACCCAUCAAUAAGGCCUCUCCCUCAACCAUUCAGCCUCAGCUGAGCUCUUUAGACCAGAAUAACCAGUCGGCCAACCCGCAGAAGCAACAAUAAAAAUAAGUUUGUGCUGCUUUAAACCACUAAACUUGGGGGUGGUUUGAAAUACAACAGAAGUUAACUAAUGCAGCAUGA
Long non-coding RNA from Canis lupus familiaris (dog), 1091 nucleotides. RefSeq lists it as uncharacterized. The transcript has 3 exons. The record is from RefSeq and is a predicted model, not a curated record. NCBI's taxonomy places the organism in Eukaryota, Metazoa, Chordata, Mammalia, Carnivora, Canidae.